Molecule: ribosomal RNA, 460 nt
Filed under: uncultured bacterium
Lineage: Bacteria
Description: partial 16S ribosomal RNA
Rfam family: Bacterial small subunit ribosomal RNA
Source: RNAcentral
CCUACGGGAGGCAGCAGUGAGGAAUAUUGGUCAAUGGACGAGAGUCUGAACCAGCCAAGUAGCGUGAAGGAUGACUGCCCUAUGGGUUGUAAACUUCUUUUCUAUGGGAAUAAAAUGUUCCACGUGUGGGAUUUUGUAUGUACCCUAUGAAUAAGGAUCGGCUAACUCCGUGCCAGCAGCCGCGGUAAUACGGAGGAUCCGAGCGUUAUCCGGAUUUAUUGGGUGUAAAGGGAGCGUAGGUGGAUUGUUAAGUCAGUUGUGAAAGUUUGCGGCUCAACCGUAAAAUUGCAGUUGAAACUGGCAGUCUCGAGUACAGUAGAGGUGCGUGGAAUGCGUGGUGUAGCGGUGAAAUGCUUAGAUAUCACGAAGAACUCCGAUUGCGAAGGCAGCUCACUGGACUACAACUGACGCUGAGGCACGAAAGUGUGGGGAUCAAACAGGAUUAGAUACCCGGGUAGUC